UGUCGGCAGGCCUAACACAUGCAAGUCGAGCGGUAGCACAGAGAGCUUGCUCUCGGGUGACGAGCGGCGGACGGGUGAGUAAUGUCUGGGAAACUGCCUGAUGGAGGGGGAUAACUACUGGAAACGGUAGCUAAUACCGCAUAACGUCGCAAGACCAAAGUGGGGGACCUUCGGGCCUCAUGCCAUCAGAUGUGCCCAGAUGGGAUUAGCUAGUAGGUGGGGUAACGGCUCACCUAGGCGACGAUCCCUAGCUGGUCUGAGAGGAUGACCAGCCACACUGGAACUGAGACACGGUCCAGACUCCUACGGGAGGCAGCAGUGGGGAAUAUUGCACAAUGGGCGCAAGCCUGAUGCAGCCAUGCCGCGUGUGUGAAGAAGGCCUUCGGGUUGUAAAGCACUUUCAGCGGGGAGGAAGGCGUUAAGGUUAAUAACCUUGGCGAUUGACGUUACCCGCAGAAGAAGCACCGGCUAACUCCGUGCCAGCAGCCGCGGUAAUACGGAGGGUGCAAGCGUUAAUCGGAAUUACUGGGCGUAAAGCGCACGCAGGCGGUCUGUCAAGUCGGAUGUGAAAUCCCCGGGCUCAACCUGGGAACUGCAUUCGAAACUGGCAGGCUAGAGUCUUGUAGAGGGGGGUAGAAUUCCAGGUGUAGCGGUGAAAUGCGUAGAGAUCUGGAGGAAUACCGGUGGCGAAGGCGGCCCCCUGGACAAAGACUGACGCUCAGGUGCGAAAGCGUGGGGAGCAAACAGGAUUAGAUACCCUGGUAGUCCACGCCGUAAACGAUGUCGAUUUGGAGGUUGUGCCCUUGAGGCGUGGCUUCCGGAGCUAACGCGUUAAAUCGACCGCCUGGGGAGUACGGCCGCAAGGUUAAAACUCAAAUGAAUUGACGGGGGCCCGCACAAGCGGUGGAGCAUGUGGUUUAAUUCGAUGCAACGCGAAGAACCUUACCUGGUCUUGACAUCCACAGAACUUUCCAGAGAUGGAUUGGUGCCUUCGGGAACUGUGAGACAGGUGCUGCAUGGCUGUCGUCAGCUCGUGUUGUGAAAUGUUGGGUUAAGUCCCGCAACGAGCGCAACCCUUAUCCUUUGUUGCCAGCGGUUCGGCCGGGAACUCAAAGGAGACUGCCAGUGAUAAACUGGAGGAAGGUGGGGAUGACGUCAAGUCAUCAUGGCCCUUACGACCAGGGCUACACACGUGCUACAAUGGCAUAUACAAAGAGAAGCGACCUCGCGAGAGCAAGCGGACCUCAUAAAGUAUGUCGUAGUCCGGAUUGGAGUCUGCAACUCGACUCCAUGAAGUCGGAAUCGCUAGUAAUCGUAGAUCAGAAUGCUACGGUGAAUACGUUCCCGGGCCUUGUACACACCGCCCGUCACACCAUGGGAGUGGGUUGCAAAAGAAGUAGGUAGCUUAACCUUCGGGAGGGCGCUUACCACUUUGUGAUUCAUGACUGGGGU
This 1452-nucleotide ribosomal RNA is filed under the name uncultured organism. RNAcentral describes it as "SSU rRNA". It matches the Rfam family "Bacterial small subunit ribosomal RNA". The record is from RNAcentral.